GUGAGGACGCCAUAUUGGAUGGCCCCGGAAGUAAUUUUAGCCAUGGACGAAGGGCAGUAUGACGGGAAAGUGGACGUCUGGUCUCUUGGGAUCACGUGUAUCGAAUUAGCCGAAAGGAAGCCGCCUCUGUUCAACAUGAACGCAAUGAGUGCCUUAUACCACAUAGCGCAGAAUGAGUCCCCAACACUCCAGUCCAACG
This is a non-coding RNA of Anolis sagrei ordinatus, 199 nucleotides long. The record is from RefSeq and is a predicted model, not a curated record. Lineage: Eukaryota; Metazoa; Chordata; Lepidosauria; Squamata; Anolidae.